RNAcentral lists this long non-coding RNA (527 nucleotides) under Salvia miltiorrhiza (redroot sage). Its description in RNAcentral is "long non-coding RNA (SMIL_LNC000491)". The record is from RNAcentral. Lineage: Eukaryota; Viridiplantae; Streptophyta; Magnoliopsida; Lamiales; Lamiaceae.
AAUUUUAGAUAUUCAAUUCCUUCACAAAUCCCGGCCUUCAUCGUCCAAAACCCCUGUGCAUGCGUGAAGGCUUCCUUUUCCAGUUUCUGGCCCUUCAACCUCAUUCCAGCCCUCCACUUUCUCUCUCCAAACUCUUCUCGGAGAGAGAGACAUAGAGAGAGAGGCUAAAAACAAUAUCUAUAUACCUUCUUUCCACAUUAUUUCAUGACAAGUAAUGCAUUCCAACAUUUUCAAGAAUUCACAAUAUAUAAUGUUAGUAUUGAUGUGAUAAUAUUUUCGGAUGAUUUAAAUAAUGAAAGACAAAGACUACUAAAAUUUGAUAUAGAAAAAAUCAUCUCUAUUCCUUCAUUUUGUGAUAAAUUUCUUGUUCUACAGUGUAACAGGAGAAACUAAUUUGUCAGACACACACAAAAAUAAAAGAUGGAUUUCUUCCUUAGAGCAAGCACGGUGAGGCUGAUCAGCUACAACGACAGAUUCCUCGUCGCCGACGCCGUCGGCGUCAGCCACGGCACCGACCGAUACGCGAG